GGAUAACCAUUGGAAACGAUGGCUAAUACCGCAUAACGUCUACGGACCAAAGAGGGGGACCUUCGGGCCUCUCGCUUCAGGAUAUGCCCAGGUGGGAUUAGCUAGUUGGUGAGGUAAUGGCUCACCAAGGCGACGAUCCCUAGCUGGUCUGAGAGGAUGAUCAGCCACACUGGAACUGAGACACGGUCCAGACUCCUACGGGAGGCAGCAGUGGGGAAUAUUGCACAAUGGGCGCAAGCCUGAUGCAGCCAUGCCGCGUGUAUGAAGAAGGCCUUCGGGUUGUAAAGUACUUUCAGUCGUGAGGAAGGCGUUGAAGUUAAUAGCUUCNUCGUUUGACGUUAGCGACAGAAGAAGCACCGGCUAACUCCGUGCCAGCAGCCGCGGUAAUACGGAGGGUGCGAGCGUUAAUCGGAAUUACUGGGCGUAAAGCGCAUGCAGGUGGUUUGUUAAGUCAGAUGNGAAAGCCCGGGGCUCAACCUCGGAANCGNNUUUGAAACUGGCAGGCUAGAGUANNGUANAGGGGGGUAGAAUUUCAGGUG
RNAcentral lists this ribosomal RNA (539 nucleotides) under Vibrio sp. KR08-32. Its description in RNAcentral is "bacterial SSU rRNA". It matches the Rfam family "Bacterial small subunit ribosomal RNA", at positions 141 to 675 of the family's 1533-position model. Lineage: Bacteria; Pseudomonadati; Pseudomonadota; Gammaproteobacteria; Vibrionales; Vibrionaceae. The record is from RNAcentral.